UCCUCUCCUCUCCUCUCCUCUCCUCUCCUCUCCUCUCCUCUCCUCUUUUUAAAUUUCUAAAAGAAAAAAACUGAGGAAAUAAGUGAAAUUUGAGCACAUAGAUGAGAAUUUGUUUGAAAGAUUAAUGGGACAUUUUUUCAGAACUAGCCACAUGAGAAAGGUUUGAGGUCUUCCCUAUUUUUAGAGUCGCUGCAAUAGUGGAAUAGUGGCCAGCAACAAGUGCACAAGAAAUUAAGGAUCUGACCUUGACUUGGAAAAGAGAGACCCUAGAAGCAGUCCACAAUCCUUUUCUUCCUAUCACUGGCACCUUUUUUAUUAUCUCAAAAAACCCUUGGAGCAUUGUGGAGUGAGAUCAGAGGAGGUCUGCGGUCCCAGAAAGGAAGAGCUUUGAGGAGUAAAGUGGUCUUUUAGCUUCCAUGACAAAAGCAUGAGGUGCUGUUUCAAUGGCAAAAGUUCCUGUCCUUGGUGAGACAAAGUGAGAUUUGCUGGAGGAAGGAGGCAAAGAAAGCAGAGGAGUCCCUUCCAAGUCUUCC
RNAcentral lists this long non-coding RNA (533 nucleotides) under Anas platyrhynchos platyrhynchos (common mallard). RNAcentral's name for it is "lncRNA (ENSAPLG00000018447.1)". The record is from RNAcentral. Lineage: Eukaryota; Metazoa; Chordata; Aves; Anseriformes; Anatidae.